This is a long non-coding RNA of Orcinus orca (killer whale), 339 nucleotides long. RefSeq lists it as uncharacterized. The record is from RefSeq and is a predicted model, not a curated record. Lineage: Eukaryota; Metazoa; Chordata; Mammalia; Artiodactyla; Delphinidae. The transcript has 4 exons.
GGAAUGGGAAAGCAAAAUGUGAAGUCUGUGUGGAUUCGUAUUUUAUUUGUGGCUUGAAUCCUUACUUCUGAGAGAGGGUCUCACUAAAGACAAAACAAAACUAAACAAGGCUUCUUGAAGAAAUGCUUUUUUUAGGUCCAGGGCAGGAAGAUACAAGUCUCAAAAGGGAACCCAAUGGAGAGAUCAGACUGUAAUCACUCCAACCCCAGAGUCAAGUUUAGCAACCCUGACGGUGGGUCAUCCAGAUCAGAUGGUGAAAAGGAGAGAUACUCUUGCUGAGUUUAUUUAGGUUGUGGUUCAGAGAAUGUAGGACAAGCAGCAAAUCAGCAGAAACACGGU